This 208-nucleotide ribosomal RNA is filed under the name uncultured bacterium. Its description in RNAcentral is "partial 16S ribosomal RNA". It matches the Rfam family "Bacterial small subunit ribosomal RNA", at positions 568 to 774 of the family's 1533-position model. The record is from RNAcentral.
CACGUAGGCGGACUCUUAAGUCGGGGGUGAAAUCCUGGAGCUCAACUCCAGAACUGCCUUCGAUACUGGGAGCCUUGGAGUCCGGGAGAGGUGAGUGGAACUGCGAGUGUAGAGGUGAAAUUCGUAGAUAUUCGCAAGAACACCAGUGGCGAAGGCGGCUCACUGGCCCGGUACUGACGCUGAGGUGCGAAAGCGUGGGGAGCAAACA